This 274-nucleotide ribosomal RNA is filed under the name uncultured bacterium. RNAcentral's name for it is "partial 16S ribosomal RNA". It matches the Rfam family "Archaeal small subunit ribosomal RNA", at positions 473 to 747 of the family's 1478-position model. The record is from RNAcentral.
AAACCAGCACCUCAAGUGGUCAGGAUGAUUAUUGGGCCUAAAGCAUCCGUAGCCGGCUCUGUAAGUUUUCGGUUAAAUCUGUACGCUCAACGUACAGGCUGCUGGGAAUACUGCAGGGCUAGGGAGUGGGAGAGAUAGACGGUACUCGGGAGGAAGUGGUAAAAUGCUUUGAUCUCUCGAUGACCACCUGUGGCGAAGGCGGUCUAUCAGAACACGUCCGACGGUGAGGGAUGAAAGCUGGGGGAGCAAACCGGAUUAGAUACCCGGGUAGUCC